AAUGAACGUUGGCGGCGUGGAUUAGGCAUGCAAGUCGCGCGAGAAGUCAAUUAGCUUGCUAAGUGACGGACAGCGGCGCAAGGGAGAGUAAUACGUAGAAAUCUGCCCCGGAGUCUGGGAUAGCGGCGGGAAACUGCCGGUAAUACCGGAUAACGUCUUCGGACCAAAGGUGUGAUUCCGCUUUGGGAUGAGUCUACGACCUAUUAGCUAGUUGGUGGGGUAAAGGCCUACCAAGGCGACGAUGGGUAGCGGGUGUGAGAGCAUGGCCCGCCUCACUGGGACUGAGACACUGCCCAGACAUCUACGGAUGGCUGCAGUCGAGAAUCUUUGUCAAUGGACGAAAGUCUGAACAAGCGACGCCGCGUGCGGGAUGAAGGCCUUUGGGUUGUAACCGCUGUCGUAGGGGAAAAAUCCUUGGGGGUACUCUCCCUUGAUUGAGUGAUCCUAGGAGAAGGACGGGCUAAGUUCGUGCCAGCCGCCGCGGUAA
Molecule: ribosomal RNA, 487 nt
Filed under: uncultured bacterium
Lineage: Bacteria
Description: bacterial SSU rRNA
Rfam family: Bacterial small subunit ribosomal RNA
Source: RNAcentral